RNAcentral lists this ribosomal RNA (810 nucleotides) under uncultured Alnicola. RNAcentral's name for it is "eukaryotic LSU rRNA". The stretch from base 239 to 392 matches the Rfam family "5.8S ribosomal RNA". Lineage: Eukaryota; Fungi; Basidiomycota; Agaricomycetes; Agaricales; Cortinariaceae. The record is from RNAcentral.
UGACUUUGGAUGUGGUUGUUGCUGGCCCUCUCGGGGGCAUGUGCACACCCACCAUCCUCAUCUCUCCACCUGUGCACCUCUUGUAGACCUGAAUUGACUUUCCGAGGCAACUCGGUCGGGAAGAUUGCUGUGCUCUGUGAGCCAGCUUUCUUUGCAUGUCUAGGCCUAUGUUUUUCAUAUACCCCUAUAGAAUGUAACCAGAAUGUAUCAUUGGGCCUUGUGCCUAUAAACCUUAUACAACUUUCAGCAACGGAUCUCUUGGCUCUCGCAUCGAUGAAGAACGCAGCGAAAUGCGAUAAGUAAUGUGAAUUGCAGAAUUCAGUGAAUCAUCGAAUCUUUGAACGCACCUUGCGCUCCUUGGUAUUCCGAGGAGCAUGCCUGUUUGAGUGUCAUUAAAUUCUCAACCUUAUUAACUUUUGUUGAUAAUGGAUUGGAUUGUGGGGGUUUCUUUUGCUGGAUUCUUCACAGAGAUCAGCUCCCCUUAAAUGCAUUAGCUGGUGCCCCGCGUGGACCAUCUAUUGGUGUGAUAAUUAUCUACGCCGUGGAUGUCUGCAAUCAUAUGGGUUUUGCACUGCUUCUAACCGUCUGUUCAUUCGGACAAUACAUGACAAUUUGACCUCAAAUCAGGUAGGACUACCCGCUGAACUUAAGCAUAUCAAUAAGCGGAGGAAAAGAAACUAACAACGAUUCCCCUAGUAACUGCGAGUGAAGCGGGAAAAGCUCAAAUUUAAAAUCUGGNGGUCUCCGCCCCGUCCGAGNUGUAAUCUAGAGAAGUGUUAUCCGCGCUGGACCGUGUACAAGGUCUCCUGA